AUCGAGUAGAAAAAGUGGGUCAUCAGAGUUUUAUGCAUCCUCAGCCACCCCAUCAAGAACACCAACGAUGCCAACUCCUGUCAGAUCAUUAUUCCACAGAACCAAGUCAAUCGAAAGUCUGAUAUCUGUGUUUGUAUGAUCUCCUCUGCACACAAUGUGGCAGUGCAAGGAAAGUACAUGGCCAUUGUUAGUACAACUGUGGAAACCAAGGAACCUGAAAAAGAAAUCAGACCAGCUUUGGAGCUCUUGGAACCAAUUGAAUAAAAAUUUGUUAACAUCAGUGACCUUCUUGUACCAAAAUAUUUGGGAGAAGAGAGCCAGAUCUUUAUUUCCUGCACAUAUGAUGCCACAACUCACUUUGAGACAACCUGAGAUGACAUUAAAGACAUCUAUAGGAGGAUGACAGGAUCUGAGUUUGAUUUUGAGGAAAUGAAGCACAAGAAAAAUGACAUCUAUGGGGAAGACUAACAGCAGUACGUGUUAAUAUCUAAUUAGGACAAAUAUAAAAUUUGACAAAUAAUGCAUAUUAUAUAAAAUCAAAUUUGUAAGGCCUGCUUUUGUAAUCAGAAUGGAGAGAUUGAAGAGCAUUGUACCAGUAAAUACUGUUCCCCUUCAUCUUUCUAAUAUCAUGUAUUAACUUGUUUUCUUGGAGUGGCUAUUCAGAAUUGACCAGUUACCACAUUCUGUUCAAUUUAACUGGACUGGCUUUUUUUUUUUUUUUUCCCUAGUGAAGGAGCAGUUUUAGACAUUGUGAUAUCAAUAUAGAAAACUUGAUAAUACAGUAUUUGUAUCUUUUAAUCAGA
RNAcentral lists this long non-coding RNA (803 nucleotides) under Marmota monax (woodchuck). Lineage: Eukaryota; Metazoa; Chordata; Mammalia; Rodentia; Sciuridae. The record is from RNAcentral.